This 71-nucleotide transfer RNA is filed under the name Loxodonta africana (African savanna elephant). It matches the Rfam family "tRNA". From Rfam's summary of the family: Transfer RNA (tRNA) molecules are approximately 80 nucleotides in length. Their secondary structure includes four short double-helical elements and three loops (D, anti-codon, and T loops). Lineage: Eukaryota; Metazoa; Chordata; Mammalia; Proboscidea; Elephantidae. The record is from Rfam by way of RNAcentral.
UUAGUGGUGGUUCAGUGAUAGAAUUCCUGCCUUCCAUGUGGGAGGCCUGGGUUUGAUUUCUGGCCAUUACA